Molecule: ribosomal RNA, 484 nt
Filed under: uncultured Bacillota bacterium
Lineage: Bacteria; Bacillati; Bacillota
Description: bacterial SSU rRNA
Rfam family: Bacterial small subunit ribosomal RNA
Source: RNAcentral
GACGAACGCUGGCGGCGUGCCUAAUACAUGCAAGUCGAGCGGGCUUUUGAGCUUGGAAGCCUUCGGGCGGACGAGCUUAAAAGCUAGCGGCGGACGGGUGAGUAACGCGUAAGCAACCUGCCCUCCAGUGGGGGAUAACUCGCCGAAAGGCGGGCUAAUACCGCAUGAGCUCUCUCUGGGGCAUCCUGGGGAGAGGAAAGGCCCUUCGGGGUCGCUGGAGGAGGGGCUUGCGUCCCAUUAGCUAGUUGGUGGGGUAACGGCCCACCAAGGCGACGAUGGGUAGCCGGCCUGAGAGGGUGACCGGCCACACUGGGACUGAGACACGGCCCAGACUCCUACGGGAGGCAGCAGUAGGGGAUCUUGCGCAAUGGGCGAAAGCCUGACGCAGCGACGCCGCGUGGGGGAAGAAGGCCUUCGGGUCGUAAACCCCUGUCCCAGGGGACGAGGCAGGACGGUACCCUGGGAGGAAGCCCCGGCUAACUAC